This is a long non-coding RNA of Sorghum bicolor (sorghum), 1427 nucleotides long. RefSeq lists it as uncharacterized. Lineage: Eukaryota; Viridiplantae; Streptophyta; Magnoliopsida; Poales; Poaceae. The transcript has 4 exons. The record is from RefSeq and is a predicted model, not a curated record.
CCGUGCUCCUCCAUCUGCGCGUUCUCCAACUUCUGCUCCUUCACCCUCUCCGCUGCUGCGCAUAUGGACGCCAUGUCGCCAUGGUCGCGACUCUCGAGCUCGAAGCCAAGCUUGUCACCAUUGUUCUCGGCUGCCCUCACCACCGCUACCAGCACCACCAACGCCCCUAGGCCGGCCGGCCCCAUCUUCUUCUCUUCCGGACGUGUGCUCGCAUGAGCUUUUGCCGCUGGAGACCACCGGCCAUCGCCGUCUUCGUGACGCCCUCACCGCCGCCCGCCGCCUCUGUUCCGUCGCGUGCAUGGUUCCCGUUCCCACCGUUGGUCGAGCCGCGGUAGGCCCGGUGAAUCCUGCUGGCCUGCACUCCUCGCCGCUGCCAGGCGCUCUAGAUUGACGGAUGCUUGAUUGAUGGAACUUUUUUGUAAUUGCAGUGUGAUUUGCGCAAUAUGCCAGCUGUUUCACACAGCUUGAGAAGGAUGAAAAGUAUCAGUUGGUUUAUGAGCUUCUAAAGAUAUUCCUUACUAAGAGGCUUGAUUCCUACUUAGAGUUUCAGAGUGCAAACUCUGCCUUGCUGAAAGAUAUGCAUAACCAAAAUGCGCCUCAUGUCUUUGCUCGAUCUGAGCAGCUGUUGCUCUGGUGAAAUCCCUUAGGGCUCGUUCGUUUGCCGUGUAUUGAGCCCCUGGAAUGAUUCCAGCUGGAAUUGCUUCAGUAAUUUGUAUAGUUUUCAUAAUCUGGUAUUGUUCCUGGGUCAAAUCCAAGGUAACCGAACGUAGCCUUAUUCUGCAAGAUCAACGAUGACAAGGUGGAGCAAUGGAUUGUGAAGGCAAUUGCAUCCAAGAUAUUGGAUUGCAAGGUUGAGCAGCUUAACCAGACUGUCAUUGUCAGUCGGCACACAGAGAGGAUCUUGUUGGGAUGCAACAGUGGCAUGGUCUGCGCACAAAGCUUGGAGUUUGGAGGGAAGUCGGCACACAGAGAGGAUCUUGUUGGGAUGCAACAGUGGCAUGGUCUGCGCACAAAGCUUGGAGUUUGGAGGGGAUACAUUCCCAGUGCUAUCAACACAAAUACAAGCUAACAAAGUCACUGAAGAGGGGACACAAGGGAUGCAAGGCUUGAUGAUCCGCUGAUUCGAGGCGGAACUGUACCAGAAUCUUUUUGUAUGAGACAGUGUAAUGAUUUACUUAGAUACUGUGACCAUGCUGGAGAGAUCCGAAGCAUGCUAAGCAAUGUGUUCCUUGUAUUUGGUCAGGCAGCCGUGCAGUGCAAGUCAGUUGUUACAAAUACCUAGAAAUACCAAGUUUUUCCACAUGAUGCACAGUCUGCCCUGAUAAAUUUCUUUUCACUGAUAUUUUUUGUCCUUUCCAAAUUUUGAUCAUUCAUACGUGUUCGAUCAGACCAUCUUGUGGUAUCCUUAUUAUUUUAUUAUUUCUUCA